RNAcentral lists this ribosomal RNA (490 nucleotides) under uncultured bacterium. RNAcentral's name for it is "partial 16S ribosomal RNA". It matches the Rfam family "Bacterial small subunit ribosomal RNA", at positions 28 to 507 of the family's 1533-position model. The record is from RNAcentral.
GAUGAACGCUAGCGGCAGGCUUAAUACAUGCAAGUCGAGGGGCAGCACGUUUCGCAUCAAUUCGGGAUGUUGGCGACCGGCAAACGGGUGAGGAUCGCGUACCCAAUCUUCCCAGAUCAGGUGGAUACCCCGGGGCAACCCGGACUAAUACCCCUUAUUUUACUUUGAAGGCAUCUUUGAGGUAAUAAAACUCCGUUUCCUUUUGAUGAGUGUGCGUCCCAUUAUGUAGUUGGCAGGGUAACGGCCUACCAAGCCUUCGAUGCGUAACUGGUGGGAGAGCACGACCAGUCACACGUGAACUGAGACACGGACCCGACUCGGACGGGAGGCAGCAGUAAGGAAUACUAGGGAAUGAACGCAAGUCGGAAACAGCCACGCCGCGUGAAGGAGGAAGGGCAUCUGGAUAGUAAACUUAUUUGAUAGGGGGCGAAAAAAGGGUAUUUUGAAUCACUUGACGGUACCUUAUGAAUAAGCAACGGCUAACUACGUG